This 439-nucleotide ribosomal RNA is filed under the name uncultured bacterium. RNAcentral describes it as "partial 16S ribosomal RNA". It matches the Rfam family "Bacterial small subunit ribosomal RNA", at positions 339 to 795 of the family's 1533-position model. The record is from RNAcentral.
CUACGGGUCGCAGCAGUGAGGAAUAUUGCACAAUGGGGGGAACCCUGAUGCAGCAACGCCGCGUGGAGGAUGACGCAUUUCCGUGUGUAAACUCCUUUUAUAUGUCAAGAAAAUGACAGUAGCAUAUGAAUAAGCACCGGCUAACUCCGUGCCAGCAGCCGCGGUAAUACGGAGGGUGCAAGCGUUACUCGGAAUCACUGGGCGUAAAGGACGCGUAGGCGGGCUUGUAAGUCAGGUGUGAAAUCCUACAGCUUAACGGUAGAACUGCACUUGAAACUACGAGCCUAGAGUAUGGGAGGGGCAGAUGGAAUUAGUGGUGUAGGGGUAAAAUCCGUAGAUAUCACUAGGAAUACCUAAAGCGAAGGCGAUCUGCUGGAACAUAACUGACGCUAAGGCGUGAAAGCGUGGGGAGCAAACAGGAUUAGAUACCCGUGUAGUC